AUAGCUCUCGGCCUUUGGCUAGACCCUCAAGUGUAGUAUCUGUUCUUUUUAUUCAGUUUAAAUCUGAUUACGUCCUCGAUGAGAGGGACUUAUAUAAACGGAUUUGGGUUCGGGAGUUGGACCCGGAGAUGACUACCUCCGCUCGCGAAUCGUCCGGUAUUGACAGUGCCUCGGGAACGGUUGACAACCC
Aquila chrysaetos chrysaetos is the source of this 190-nucleotide small nuclear RNA. Its record names the gene U2. It matches the Rfam family "U2 spliceosomal RNA". Rfam says of the family: U2 is a small nuclear RNA (snRNA) component of the spliceosome (involved in pre-mRNA splicing). Complementary binding between U2 snRNA (in an area lying towards the 5' end but 3' to hairpin I) and the branchpoint sequence (BPS) of the intron results the bulging out of an unpaired adenosine, on the BPS, which initiates a nucleophilic attack at the intronic 5' splice site, thus starting the first of two transesterification reactions that mediate splicing. Lineage: Eukaryota; Metazoa; Chordata; Aves; Accipitriformes; Accipitridae. The record is from Ensembl.